AACGUAAUUAGGGGCCUAAAGCGAAAUUUUAAUUUGAGGCCUAAAAUAUAAACAAACUUCAUAUACGUAUUUAUUCAAAAUUUAUUUUUCUUACACUAUUUAAAUGAAAAUUAUUAGUAUUUAAUAUUAUUUUUUCAGUUAUUAGUUUUAAGUAAGAUUUUAUCAACUCAACAUUGAAAAAUAUCCUCUCAGCGAGGCAAUUAUUAUAUGAAUUAUUAACAUAAUUCUAUAAGUAAUAAGUUAGACAAAUAUUAAAUAAAGAUAAGAAUUAGAAUCAUAGAAUUUGACUCAAGAAGUUGAUGACUUGGUAUACCUCAUUUUAAUAUGCUUGUAGAAAUGCUUGAAACUAAAAUUUAAAACGAAAUAAAAAAGAAUUUGUAAUUCACUUUGUUCAACACUUUUCACUAUUAAUUCUUAUUUUUAACAAAGUACAAAAAUAUUAAAGUGGAUAAAAUAAUAUAUAUUUUUUAAAAAUAUACUUUUUAUCAUAAAUAAUCAAUUUUUUCUUUAAAAUUUUUAACACAUAAUUUAUUUUUGACAAAAAUUUGAGGCCCUCAAAAUUUUGGGGCCUAAGGCAAAAGCCUUAUUUUCCCAAGUAUAGAGCCGGCCCUG
This 612-nucleotide long non-coding RNA is filed under the name Solanum tuberosum (potato). RNAcentral describes it as "long non-coding RNA (STUB_LNC003360)". The record is from RNAcentral. Lineage: Eukaryota; Viridiplantae; Streptophyta; Magnoliopsida; Solanales; Solanaceae.